This 19-nucleotide small RNA is filed under the name Arabidopsis thaliana (thale cress). RNAcentral's name for it is "ATSL141100". The record is from RNAcentral. Lineage: Eukaryota; Viridiplantae; Streptophyta; Magnoliopsida; Brassicales; Brassicaceae.
UUUUUUUUUAGUUUUUGCU